UUUUUUAUGUUUUUAAUUUACUCAAAGCGGCCGAUUUGUUGGAAAUGUAUGUAUUUAUAUAUUUUAUAAACGUAUGAAAAAUUAGAUUCGUUGAUGGAUUUUAUACCGGUUGUUUGGCGUUUUGGGGAUCACAGCCUUGACAAACAUUCCCAUUGUAUAAUAAGUUAACUAGUGAGAAUCAGAAAUACCAAAAAUCACUACUAAAAUGGAUGAUUAUAACGGGACCAUGAUCAAAAUACAAGAAGUCGAGGACGUAAAACAGUAUUUCAACAAAGUCUUAGUGAAAAAAUCAAAGCUGAAUCACAUUGAAAAAAAACUCAACAGUUCUCGGACAAACUAUAACGAUUAUCAAAAAACAAUUGACGGGGUCAGUAGAACAAGUAACGAAAGAAAUAAAAAAAAUUGAUGUUUGAAAUCAUUUUUAACCAAAGCCAACCUCACAUCACAAGAACGUGUACACUCUGGCGAGAAGCAUUACAAAUGUGCGGUUUGCUCAAAAGUCGACUUUUGUAUAUCAUGAUCAAGUACACACUGG
This is a long non-coding RNA of Adelges cooleyi (spruce gall adelgid), 535 nucleotides long. RefSeq lists it as uncharacterized. NCBI's taxonomy places the organism in Eukaryota, Metazoa, Arthropoda, Insecta, Hemiptera, Adelgidae. The transcript is spliced from 3 exons. The record is from RefSeq and is a predicted model, not a curated record.